RNAcentral lists this unclassified non-coding RNA (4096 nucleotides) under Leishmania donovani. RNAcentral's name for it is "gene:LdHU3.28.0900(CDS-product:serine/threonine_p rotein_phosphatase_catalytic_subunit_putative)". Lineage: Eukaryota; Euglenozoa; Kinetoplastea; Trypanosomatida; Trypanosomatidae. The record is from RNAcentral.
AGCAGGUCUAUUCGUGAUCACUGCUGCGGUUUCCUUUUCUUUGUUCCUUCUCCCACUUUCGCUCUCUUACUGAACCCGCCACCGCCCCCUCCCCACAACGAACUUCCGCUGAUAUAACCACUUUUAGAAACAAAAAAGCACGCAUAUAUCAACCCGCCUUUUGCCUGCGCCGUGCUACGCGGUCUUUCUCUUUCUCGACUCUUCUCCCCCCUUUUCGUUUUCACGGGUUACACAUAAGCCCCCUCAUAGCAACCCUGCACAGCAUACACACCGAUACACACGCAGCCUCUCUUCUCGAUUUAUACACCUCUUCCGCAGGAAGUGCCUCUACGUAUUCGUGUGUGCUAUGCGCAUGCGUUCGUGAUUGCCACUGUCCGUGUUUUGCUUUCCCGUUGCCGUCUUGCCGCCUCCCUACGACUUCCCCCUUGCGUGUGUGUGUGUGUCUACGGUACGUGUUUUGUCGCGUUGCUGACGUGGUAGCGCCUUUCCGUUCUUCCGUUGGUUGCUUGGCUGUUCCCUCUUCUGUGCCUCUCCGCGGCGGCGAAUAUAGACUUCGAAGGGAGAGCAAGCAUACCGAACGCAGCCGCAACCGCAACAAGGAAGCGAAUCACGCGGAGAAGUGGCCCACCAUUCUACGUUGAGCUGACGUGCACGUGUUGUUGUUGUCCGUGUCGUGGAGGGGCUCCUCAUUCUUCUUAUUUUGUGGGUUCUCACCGUUGUUCUUGAGGGUGCCUUCUCUCCUGUUCUGUGUAUCUUAUUGCGCAGCGAAUAAAGCAGUUUUCGCGCUGAGCCUGGCGCACAGCCCUACAGCAGCAGGCACACACACACACACACACACACAAAAGCACACUGGCCGAAGGCACGAACUUACGUGAUCGGUGAAGUGUCGCUGUGUGAGAAAACGAAACACACACACACACAUGAACAAGUGCAUGUGAUUCACCGUUUUGUUUUGUCUACUUUUGAUCUUCCCGUGUUGUUUGUAAAGCUGCUCCUCUCUGGCCUGCGUGACAGCCGCACCAUCACAACAUACAAUUUCCCAUUUCUUCCUCCCCUCUACCAUCAUCAUUGACCCGCCCGACGGCGUCAGCAGCGCGUGUGUUGGCUUUUUCAGUUUGUUUCGGUUAGUAAAGGCCAGCUAGGCGACUUCAACACCGCUUUCUUUUCCUUUUCUCACCUCCGCAGAAACGUCGAUUUCCCGAGCAGCAGCAUAGUUGCACGCUUUAGAGGAGAGCGACGCAGAGCGAAGCCCGCCAAGCCCGUUGAGGAAGUCGAGGUGCCGCUGCAGCGAAGGGAAAAAGAACAACAGAGCGCAGCAGAUAUGAGCGUCGACUCCAUUAUCGAGCAGCUGCUCGAGGUGCGUGGCGCGAAGCCGGGCAAGCAGGUGCAGUUAGCCGAGAAUGACGUGAAGCAGCUGGCGAUACGCACGCGCGAGAUUCUUCUCUCGCAGCCGCCUCUGCUAGAGCUGGAGGCGCCCAUCAAGAUCUGCGGCGAUAUUCACGGCCAGUACUACGACCUUAUCCGUCUCUUCGAGAACGGCGGCUUCCCGCCGACAGCGAACUACCUCUUCCUCGGCGACUACGUGGACCGCGGAAAGCAGGGUCUCGAGACCAUCUGCCUGGUCUUCGCCUUCAAGGUGAAGUUUCCCGAGAACUUCUUCAUCCUUCGAGGUAACCACGAGUGCGCCAGCAUCAAUCGCAUCUACGGCUUCUUCGACGAGUGCAAGCGCCGCUACAACAUUCGUCUCUGGAAGGCGUUCACAGAUACGUUCAACUGCCUUCCUGUGGCGUGUAUUAUCGAUGACAAGAUCUUCUGCUGCCAUGGUGGCCUUUCGCCGGAGCUGCAGACGAUGGACCAGAUCAAGAAGAUCACACGCCCGUGCGAUGUGGCGGACACUGGUCUGAUCUGCGACUUGCUGUGGUCAGACCCGGAGGAAGGUCUCUCGGGGUGGGGCGAGAACGACCGUGGCGUGUCCUUCACUUUCGGUCAGGAUAUUGUAGAGAAGUUCUUGAAUAAGCACCAGUUUGAGCUGAUUUGCCGCGCGCACCAAGUCGUAGAGGAUGGGUACCAGUUUUUCGCGAAGCGCAAGCUCAUCACCAUCUUCUCUGCCCCUAACUACUGUAAUGAGUUCGAUAACAGCGGCGCCGUGAUGACCGUGGACAACGAGCUCAUGUGCUCCUUCCAGAUCCUUAAGCCGUCUGUGAAGAAGCCGAAGUUCUACUCGUAACGAGACGUAUGCGAGAAGAAUGGGAGAGGAGGAGGAGGGGCGCCGUUUUCGGAUUGCACCGGCGUGCAGCUGAAAAGGCGCGAUAAGCAAAAACAAACAAGAAGGAAGAAGAAAGGAAGGCGCAGCGCCGUGUGUGUGUGUGCGUGUUGGGGGGUUCAUAUGUCUCCCCUCUUCCGUUUCAUCGACUGGCUGCGCCGCUUUGCUUUUUCCUUUUUGCGUGCGUGUUAAGGCUUGACUGGUGCACGUUGGCGCGUCUCUGUGUUUCGUGCUCCCCACCCCCUCCUCUCUCUCUCUCCGCGCGCGCUUCAUACUUUCCUUCUCGUUGCUGCUGCUCUUGUUGCCGUCGUCGUUCGCUUGUUGUUCGUCUCCUCGGCCUCUGUCGAUCUAUUUUUCCCUUUGGUCUGCGGGGCGCCUCUCUUCUUUUACCCUGUGCGUCCGUGCCUGCAUGUCGCUCGUUCGUUGCGUUCUUGCACCUGUCGAUGUUGUAUUAGACAUGCUUGGUGAUGCGAUAUACGGCGCGAGAGAGUGUAUGGGCGCGCGUUAGUGUUUCUCUCUGUGUAUGCGUAUGUCAGGCAGCGCCUAGCAUGCCGGAUGAUAUCAACGCGGAUGUAUGUCACCCCAAGGAGCGGCAACCAUAUCCCCCUCUUCUUUUCUACUAUUGCGGGCCCACACUCAUGUUUACUGCUCGUCUUCGCGGCACCCUCUGCAUCCAGAAUGGAUCUCUCCUCUUUUGUUCUCUCCCUCUCCGUGGCUCUCCUUUCCAUCACAUACGCCAUCGUGGGGGUCAUCGUUGCGAGGGUGGGUCUGAGAAGGGACUCUUGUGUGUUCUCGGCUUAUCUGCGCGCGUGGGUCUGUACGGGCGUGCGUGUGUGGAGACGCGUGCCCCUUCUAUGCUAUGGGCAACGCAAAACCAGCGCAACACCCACACACCCACUUACACUCAUGCGCGCAGAGAAUCGAAUCAGGUGCAAGGAACCUCCUUUUUUUUGCUCUCGCCCACCGAUAGAUCCUUGUCCAACUCUUCUUCACUCUCUUGCUCUGACCGUCUUCCUACCUUUCUCUCCUCCCACGCGUGGGCCCUGCCGAGGCGCGCAUCUCUGGUGUCCUUCUCUCUCUUCUGCCCUGAAGGCGAAACAAAAAUCAACUAGGAGGCACACAAGGAUCGGAAAGCGCAGAAAGAAGCGGGAGGAGGCAGUGUAUGUAUGUGGAGAUGAGCGGAAUGUUAUAGCGUACAAGGGAGCAAAAACAAGUACGCGCGUGCAAGAGCAACGAAUAACGUAACUCAAGUGAGGGUGGCUGAGGCGCGUUGGUGUCGUCUUCGAUUGCGCCUGUUUUAUACUCUUCUAUGCCCCUUGCCGAGUGUGUCUGUGAUACUCUGCACUGAUGGAUGAGGUGUGGAAGUAGGUGAGGGGUAAAGGGUAGAUGAUACUGUGAAUGGUGUGGCGACGGUCGCGCCUGCGUAUGUGAGGGUGGCGUGUGACUCAUGUUCCUUUUUCUUUGUUCUCUGUUCUACAUUUUUCGUUUUCGUUUCGUGCCCGUGCCUGUGCGUGAUCGUGUGGGGGCGUAUGCGCGAUCAUGGCGAUGAUGCCGAUUGCAAGGAGCCCUAUCUUUUUCUCCAUGCCUCUGAGUGUGCGUGAUGGUGUUUGUGUGUGUGUGGUCGUGCUGGAGUGUGCCUUUCCAGUUUUGCCUUUCCUUGUCUUCUGUCGACGAUGUCGACAAACCCCCAAUGUACGACCCCUUUCCCCUUCCCUUCUUUAUUUGCCCCAUGUGUGCGUGUGUGUGUGUGCCUGUCUGUGUCUCUCUGUAUGGGUGUGUGUUCUUGUGUGUUUCUACCUUCUCCUCAUUAACAAAAUCCAACAGAAAGGGAAU